Molecule: ribosomal RNA, 492 nt
Filed under: uncultured bacterium
Lineage: Bacteria
Description: partial 16S ribosomal RNA
Rfam family: Bacterial small subunit ribosomal RNA
Source: RNAcentral
AGUGAACGCUGGCGGUAGGCCUAACACAUGCAAGUCGAACGGCAGCACAGUAAGAGCUUGCUCUUACGGGUGGCGAGUGGCGGACGGGUGAGGAAUACAUCGGAAUCUACUUUUUCGUGGGGGAUAACGUAGGGAAACUUACGCUAAUACCGCAUACGAUCUACGGGUGAAAGCAGGGGAUCUUCGGACCUUGCGCGAUUGAAUGAGCCGAUGUCGGAUUAGCUAGUUGGCGGGGUAAAGGCCCACCAAGGCGACGAUCCGUAGCUGGUCUGAGAGGAUGAUCAGCCACACUGGAACUGAGACACGGUCCAGACUCCUACGGGAGGCAGCAGUGGGGAAUAUUGGACAAUGGGCGCAAGCCUGAUCCAGCCAUACCGCGUGGGUGAAGAAGGCCUUCGGGUUGUAAAGCCCUUUUGUUGGGAAAGAAAAGCAGCAGGUUAACACCCCGCUGUUCUGACGGUACCCAAAGAAUAAGCACCGGCUAACUUCGUG